Molecule: non-coding RNA, 3338 nt
Organism: Sus scrofa (pig)
Lineage: Eukaryota; Metazoa; Chordata; Mammalia; Artiodactyla; Suidae
Source: RefSeq, a predicted model, not a curated record
UAGGCCACAGCCACAGCAACUUGGGAUCUGAGCUGCAUCUGCGACCUACACCACAGCUCUGGCAACGCCAGAUACUAGUUGGGUUCAUUACUGCUGAGCCACAACGGGAACUCCUAUUGUCAUUGUUUUCAGACUGACUAGGCCCACUGAAGAAGAGAAAGAUCAUUUGAAACUGAGGUGGAUUCAUUUGAAACUGUGACCUUUGUCUGUUUCUUAAUUCUCUCUCUUGCUGUGCACUCUCCCAUGGGUAUAUUCAUGUAGCGGUAUACAGGCACAUGCAAACAUGUUAUUUAAAAGGCCUCAUGACACUUAACAAGGACAACUCUAAGGAGAAAAAAAAAUUCUGCUCUUUGGUCUAGUCUUGUUGAUUUCUUUCCACAGUUUCUUAUCUCAGAGCUCCCAGAGCUAGCAUGUUCUAACAUCCGAAUUAGGUAAGUGUCCCAAAGUCAUUCACCUAUAGAAUGCAGGAAGGUAAUAUAAAUGAGUAAAGUAAUGCCAGGAGCAGUAGAGGCUGUGAUGAGCUGCAGAAUACAACUCAGAGGGGACCUCAACCGUCAGCUCUAGCCAGCCAACCCAGUGCUGCCAGAGCUGCUUAUAUGGGGGGAAAAAUGAAAGAAAGAAAAGGAAGGGAGGAGGAAAAGAAGGAGGGAGGAAAAAGAGAAAAAAGAAAAAGGAAAACGAACAAAACAUUUGGAAUUGUUCUAACAAACGCAGGUCAAACAAAACUUGGCUGUGGGCGAGCCUGGCCCACAGCCCAACACAUUGCUUUAAGCUUCUUCUUUCCCUGUAAAAUUACAUUUGGGUCCUGGGUCAACUUAGGUGGAAUGAAAGAAGAGGAGAAAUCAGGACAAUAGACCCAUAGGAGCCGCAAACCCCCAAGGAAAGGGCAGAAGAAGAGCCAGGUAAGGAAGCUGCUCUCCUCUAGUUUUCUGUUGCCACCAUAACAAAUGACCAGAAAUUUAGAGGCUUAAAACAACCUGAAAUCACUGUCUUUCAGUUCUGUGGGUCAGAAGUCUGACCUGGGAUGCAUGAGGCUCAUGUGGGGUGCUGCGGACUGCUCCUGCCUGGAAGCUCUGGGGGUGGAUCCGUUUCCUUGCUUGCGCAGGUUAUUAGGAGAAUCUAGUCCCUAUGGUUGGAAACUAAGGUUUUGUUUCCUUGCUGGCUGUCAGCCUUUCUUUGCCUGAUUGGAAAAGCCUCCACUCCUUAGUGGCAGACACAAGGCCAUCGACAGCUCAACUGCAGGCUAGGUUUCCACAUUCAUCUCUUGCCUCUCCCCCGCGUGGACUCCAUCCUCCAGCUACACACUUGUCUAAACCGCCCUGCCCUUUCUUCCUCACUGGGUGAUUAGAGACAUCACACGGGGAUGCCUUCUGUUGUCUCCUCUCUCUCCUCGCCCUUCCCUGUUUCUGCAACACGUUUUUCCCCCCAUUUUGGAGAUCUAAGGUAAUAUAAAUAGUAAAAUAAUGCCUGAGGGAUAAUCGGGAGCAGUAGAGACUGUGAUGAGCCUCACCCACUAGACGAUAUACUUGAAUUUUUUAUUGAAGUACAGUUGAUUUAUAGUAGCAUAUAAAUUUCAGGUGUAUAGCAUAGUAAUUCAGGUAUGUACACUCAUAUAUGUACACACACACACAUACAUAUACAAAUUUUUCAGGUUCUUUUCCCUUAUAGGUUAUUAUACAAUAUUGAGUAUAGUUUCUUGUGUUAUACAGUAAGUCCUUGUUUUUUAUCUAUUUUAUACAUAAUAGUGUGUAUUCGUUAUUUCCAGCCUCGUCAUUUAUCCCUCCCCCGCUUCCCCUUGGGUAAGCGUAAAUUUGUUUUCUGUGUCUAUGGGUCUCUUUCUGUUUUGGAAAUAAGUUCAUUUGUUAGACUAUAUACUUUUGUAGGACAGAGGCCAUAACCUAUUUUUCUUCAUACCUCCAGCACAGAGCUCAGUGUCAUGCAGGUAAUAGAUGCCUCAUAAAUAUGCAUUGAAUGCAUGAGCAAAUGAACCGUGCCAGGUGCUGGGAAUGGAGUGGAAAAAACAGAACAUGCAAUUCAUGCCUGCACUAGCCUGACAGCCAAUUAUACCAACCUCACGGUCCGUUAGACUAGACGGUGCUAUUUACCAGGAAAUUAAAUCAGUAAGCAGUGCAAGUGUGACCAGCACAAUAAAGAAAAUAUACCAGACUUCUCUAGUGAAACUUUUCUAUGUGCAGUAAUUCUUGAUGCUUUCAGAACUUUAUACGUUUGAAGGACGCUCACACAACCCAUUCAGACAAAGGGUGACAGAAAGAGGCAAAGGAAAACAGAGCAAGAGAGCCUGAGCGAUCUCCCCUCCACCUUCAGGAGCCUUCUCAGUUCUGUGUGCCCGGGAGUGGCGUAAAUGGCACCUGUUUUCUAUAGCAGUAUGAGAAGACAUCUGUCCUCAUUUGCGGUGCCUCCUACUGAUCUGGGCAUCACUGCAGAGGAGGGGGCCGCUCCUGAGUGCAGCACCCCUGGGGGCCAGCCCUGACCCUGACCCUUACACCCCAACCAGCACUGCAGAUCGUUAGCCAGAAUAAAGGACGUCCACAGUGACCCUCCCUGGGCCUCCCACACUCACAUUAAAGGACACAGGGAAUCAGUAUAUUGCUCCCAAGAGGGAUCCUCAAGGCACUUCCAAUUCAAGAGAUUAGUGGAAAUACUGCUUCCCAUCCUGGAUAGAGACCACAGGCCAGCCAGUCUCAUCCAGAGGCUCUGGCCCACAGCCGCAUCCCUGACCGACAGAGUCCAGGCCAGGAGGCCCUGCUGCCCUUCCUUCAGAGCUCCAGUUUCUCCGUGAGGCAGGCUGGUUCUCAGUCCCCUCUCCACUGCCUAGGGACGUCGGGAUCACCAGCACAUCACCCAGCCUCUCUGAGUGCCGACCCCCUUGGGUGUGAAAUGGCGCUGAUGAUGUCUACCUCACAGAGCUGUUUGGAGACUCACUUGAGCUCUUGCAGGCCAAGUGAACAACGCAGUGCCAGGCACAGAGGUUUGGAAGUUUCUGUGGACAAAUCCUCAAGCUCAGGGAUUCUUUCCUCAGCCAUGUCCAGUCCACAGAAGAACUUGGAACGGCUCGGGCUGGGUCCAGUCGACAGAGGAGAUGGGCUCUGAAGUGACAGCUGAGCUGGUCCAAUCCACGCGACAUAACAGCUUGGCUGUUGCAUUGUCACCCGCUGAAGGAAGUUACCCAUAAUGGUGGCCACCAUGAGAACCAGUCAGCAGGCAAAGGACUUUGUGGAACUGCCAAGAGAUGUGUUUCUUAAGAUGCCUUUCUUCUUCGUUCCACCUGCUGGCACAGGAGCUGGAAGAGCCGCUCACCACGAGGCCCCACGCACAGG